Daphnia pulicaria is the source of this 476-nucleotide long non-coding RNA. RefSeq lists it as uncharacterized. The record is from RefSeq and is a predicted model, not a curated record. The transcript is spliced from 3 exons. Lineage: Eukaryota; Metazoa; Arthropoda; Branchiopoda; Diplostraca; Daphniidae.
AUCCGUCAAUGUAAAGGCUGCAAAGAGAAAACAUGCAAUUUGCAGGAUGGUGAGACAUUCAUGUUGAAGUUUAUUUUACCUCCGUUAACCUCUACGCCCGUUAAUUUUAUUUUCCCGUUGAUGCGAAAGUCAACUGGUGGUAAAGUCGAAUUAGGCAAUCUUCAGUUCCAGUAUUCUUUCAUUAGAAAUUGGUGUGGCAUUCCAAAUCGUUCCACACAUGUGCAGUGGAUUGUUGACAUUUAUGGGUCGAAUGCUAAUGGGUUGGCAUUGAACUCGGACAUGACUUGGCGUUUGGCAAAGUUUCUCGAAGACAAAACCAAUAAUGAAAAGUUUUAACCCAUGAGCCAUUUUCUUCCUCAGAUACGGGCAACCAUGAGAAUGAACUUGGACAGCGUAACAAUUGCUGUACCCACUAUGGCAACUUUUGGUGUGAAGACCAGCAAUUUGGAGCACUUUCUUGAUGAAGCGAGGCAGUU